CAUCCUGAGAAGAGCAGCAAAAAUGUGACUUUGAGGUCUUGGAGGAGGCAAGCAUGUUGACUAGGGUACAGAAGGAUCCUGAGAGCCCAGAGAACAUCUAAAAAGAGAAAGCAGUCGUGCUGAAGACUUCUGACUGAUUAAUAUGACUAAAGCCUGCGGACACAGCUGCUUAUAUCUCCACACUUCCUUACCAACUCCUCAGCAUAGUCUUCUUGAUAGUGCAAUGCUCUGGUUCUGCUCUCUGCUGCGCUAGUGGAAUCUGGCACCAACUACAUGCACAGGAACUGCAGAUUAUAUAACACAAGGGAUUACAGCGUGUUUCGUGGACACAAAGUGUCCUGUUGUUGGAAUGGAGAUGAUCUAGGCCAUGCUCUGUAACCUGCUGAGAAAGCCAUGGAGAACCGUGGGGAUGGACAAAGUUGCCUAAGACUUAGUACCAUAUUACUGCAGAGCUAAGACCAUAAUCUAAGACUCAUGGGUCUCAUUCUA
Long non-coding RNA from Neofelis nebulosa (Clouded leopard), 489 nucleotides. RefSeq lists it as uncharacterized. The transcript is spliced from 2 exons. NCBI's taxonomy places the organism in Eukaryota, Metazoa, Chordata, Mammalia, Carnivora, Felidae. The record is from RefSeq and is a predicted model, not a curated record.